UACGUAGGGUCCGAGCGUUGUCCGGAAUUAUUGGGCGUAAAGGGCUCGUAGGCGGUCUGUCGCGUCGGGAGUGAAAUUUUACAGCUUAACUGUGAACGUGCUUUCGAUACGGGCAGACUGGAGGCAUGCAGGGGGAGAACGGAAUUCCUGGUGUAGCGGUGAAAUGCGCAGAUAUACAGGAGGAACACCGGUGGCGAAGGCGGUUCUCUGGGCAUGUCCAUGACGCUGGAG
This 231-nucleotide ribosomal RNA is filed under the name uncultured bacterium. RNAcentral describes it as "partial 16S ribosomal RNA". It matches the Rfam family "Bacterial small subunit ribosomal RNA", at positions 524 to 751 of the family's 1533-position model. The record is from RNAcentral.